Molecule: ribosomal RNA, 1529 nt
Filed under: Burkholderia sola
Lineage: Bacteria; Pseudomonadati; Pseudomonadota; Betaproteobacteria; Burkholderiales; Burkholderiaceae
Description: 16S ribosomal RNA
Rfam family: Bacterial small subunit ribosomal RNA
Source: RNAcentral
UGAAGAGUUUGAUCCUGGCUCAGAUUGAACGCUGGCGGCAUGCCUUACACAUGCAAGUCGAACGGCAGCACGGGUGCUUGCACCUGGUGGCGAGUGGCGAACGGGUGAGUAAUACAUCGGAACAUGUCCUGUAGUGGGGGAUAGCCCGGCGAAAGCCGGAUUAAUACCGCAUACGAUCUACGGAUGAAAGCGGGGGACCUUCGGGCCUCGCGCUAUAGGGUUGGCCGAUGGCUGAUUAGCUAGUUGGUGGGGUAAAGGCCUACCAAGGCGACGAUCAGUAGCUGGUCUGAGAGGACGACCAGCCACACUGGGAAUGAGACACGGCCCAGACUCCUACGGGAGGCAGCAGUGGGGAAUUUUGGACAAUGGGCGAAAGCCUGAUCCAGCAAUGCCGCGUGUGUGAAGAAGGCCUUCGGGUUGUAAAGCACUUUUGUCCGGAAAGAAAUCCUUGGCUCUAAUACAGUCGGGGGAUGACGGUACCGGAAGAAUAAGCACCGGCUAACUACGUGCCAGCAGCCGCGGUAAUACGUAGGGUGCGAGCGUUAAUCGGAAUUACUGGGCGUAAAGCGUGCGCAGGCGGUUUGCUAAGACCGAUGUGAAAUCCCCGGGCUCAACCUGGGAACUGCAUUGGUGACUGGCAGGCUAGAGUAUGGCAGAGGGGGGUAGAAUUCCACGUGUAGCAGUGAAAUGCGUAGAGAUGUGGAGGAAUACCGAUGGCGAAGGCAGCCCCCUGGGCCAAUACUGACGCUCAUGCACGAAAGCGUGGGGAGCAAACAGGAUUAGAUACCCUGGUAGUCCACGCCCUAAACGAUGUCAACUAGUUGUUGGGGAUUCAUUUCCUUAGUAACGUAGCUAACGCGUGAAGUUGACCGCCUGGGGAGUACGGUCGCAAGAUUAAAACUCAAAGGAAUUGACGGGGACCCGCACAAGCGGUGGAUGAUGUGGAUUAAUUCGAUGCAACGCGAAAAACCUUACCUACCCUUGACAUGGUCGGAAUCCUGCCGAGAGGUGGGAGUGCUCGAAAGAGAACCGGCGCACAGGUGCUGCAUGGCUGUCGUCAGCUCGUGUCGUGAGAUGUUGGGUUAAGUCCCGCAACGAGCGCAACCCUUGUCCUUAGUUGCUACGCAAGAGCACUCUAAGGAGACUGCCGGUGACAAACCGGAGGAAGGUGGGGAUGACGUCAAGUCCUCAUGGCCCUUAUGGGUAGGGCUUCACACGUCAUACAAUGGUCGGAACAGAGGGUUGCCAACCCGCGAGGGGGAGCUAAUCCCAGAAAACCGAUCGUAGUCCGGAUUGCACUCUGCAACUCGAGUGCAUGAAGCUGGAAUCGCUAGUAAUCGCGGAUCAGCAUGCCGCGGUGAAUACGUUCCCGGGUCUUGUACACACCGCCCGUCACACCAUGGGAGUGGGUUUUACCAGAAGUGGCUAGUCUAACCGCAAGGAGGACGGUCACCACGGUAGGAUUCAUGACUGGGGUGAAGUCGUAACAAGGUAGCCGUAUCGGAAGGUGCGGCUGGAUCACCUCCUUU